GAUGAACGCUAGCUACAGGCUUAACACAUGCAAGUCGAGGGGUAACGAGAGGAAAGCUUGCUUUCCUUGUCGACGACCGGCGCACGGGUGAGUAACGCGUAUCCAACCUGCCCCCAACUAGGGAAUAACCUUGCGAAAGUAAGACUAAUACCCUAUAAUUUCCUCAGAUGUCAUCUGACGAGGAAUAAAGAUUUAUCGGUUGUGGAUGGGGAUGCGUCUGAUUAGCUUGUUGGCGGGGUAACGGCCCACCAAGGCAACGAUCAGUAGGGGUUCUGAGAGGAAGGUCCCCCACAUUGGAACUGAGACACGGUCCAAACUCCUACGGGAGGCAGCAGUGAGGAAUAUUGGUCAAUGGGCGGAAGCCUGAACCAGCCAAGUAGCGUGCAGGAUGACGGCCCUAUGGGUUGUAAACUGCUUUUAUACAGGAAUAAAGUUAGCCACGUGUGGUUAUUUGUAGGUACUGUACGAAUAAGCACCGGCUAACUACGUGCCAGCAGCCGCAGUAA
Molecule: ribosomal RNA, 506 nt
Filed under: uncultured bacterium
Lineage: Bacteria
Description: partial 16S ribosomal RNA
Rfam family: Bacterial small subunit ribosomal RNA
Source: RNAcentral